This 1575-nucleotide ribosomal RNA is filed under the name Rousettus amplexicaudatus (Geoffroy's rousette). RNAcentral's name for it is "16S ribosomal RNA". It matches the Rfam family "Bacterial large subunit ribosomal RNA". The record is from RNAcentral. Lineage: Eukaryota; Metazoa; Chordata; Mammalia; Chiroptera; Pteropodidae.
ACAAAUACUAGCCCACACCACAUAAGACUUAACUAUAUUACAACAUAAACUAAAACAUUUACCCUAGUUAAAGUAUAGGAGAUAGAAAUUUCCAAUUGGCGCUAUAGAGAGAAGUACCGCAAGGGAAAGAUGAAAGACCAAUUAAAAGUAACUAAUAGCAAAGCUUACCCCUUGUACCUUUUGCAUAAUGAUUUAACCAGAACCACUUGGCAAAAAGAAUUUUAGCCAAGCAACCCGAAACCAGACGAGCUACCCAAGAGCAGCUAAAGAGCAAACUCGUCUAUGUAGCAAAAUAGUGAGAAGACUUUUGGGUAGUGGUGAGAAGCCUACCGAGCCUGGUGAUAGCUGGUUGUCCAGAACAGAAUUUUAGUUCAACUUUAAGCCAUGCCUAAAAAACCUAAUAACUCUUAUGCAGACUUAAAAUAUAAUCUAAAAGGGUACAGCCUUUUAGAAACAGGAUACAACCUUAACUAGAGAGUAAGCCCCAAAGAUCCCCAUAGUUGGCCUAAAAGCAGCCACCAAUAAAGAAAGCGUUCAAGCUCAACGACCCCUCUUAAACCUAAUCUCAAACAGUUAUCCGCGAACUCCUAACUUAGUACUGGACCAUUCUAUUACAAAAUAGAAGAAAUACUGUUAAUAUGAGUAACAAGAAUCGACUUCUCCUCGCACAAGUCUAUAUCAGAACGGAUAUUCCACUGAUAGUUAACGACAAGAUAAAUACCACACCACAACUAAAACACUUAUUAAUUCAAUUGUUAACCCAACUCAGGAGUGCGCAAAGGAAAGAUUAAAAGAAGUAAAAGGAACUCGGCAAACACAAACCCCGCCUGUUUACCAAAAACAUCACCUCCAGCAUAACAAUUAUUGGAGGCACUGCCUGCCCAGUGACAUCCGUUAAACGGCCGCGGUAUCCUGACCGUGCAAAGGUAGCAUAAUCAUUUGUUCUCUAAAUAAGGACUUGUAUGAAUGGCCACACGAGGGUUUUACUGUCUCUUACUUCCAAUCAGUGAAAUUGACCUUCCCGUGAAGAGGCGGGAAUUCCCAAAUAAGACGAGAAGACCCUAUGGAGCUUUAAUUAAUUAGUCCACAAAACAACACCCAUACCCCAAGGGAAACAAACCAACUUUUGCUGGAUUAACAAUUUAGGUUGGGGUGACCUCGGAAAACAAAACAACUUCCGAGUGGUAUUAACCUAGACUGACAAGUCAAAGUUUACAAUCAUUUAGUGAUCCAAAACUUCUUUUGAUCAACGGAACAAGUUACCCUAGGGAUAACAGCGCAAUCCUAUUUGAGAGUCCAUAUCGAUAAUAGGGUUUACGACCUCGAUGUUGGAUCAGGACAUCCCAAUGGUGCAGCCGCUAUUAAUGGUUCGUUUGUUCAACGAUUAAAGUCCUACGUGAUCUGAGUUCAGACCGGAGCAAUCCAGGUCGGUUUCUAUCUAUUCUGCGUUCCUCCCAGUACGAAAGGACAAGAGAAACAAGGCCAACUUAACAUAAGCGCCUUCAAGCCAAUAGAUGAUGAAAUCUAAAUCUAAUAGCAAUAACACAAGUAUUUAAGCCCGAGAACAGGGCCCAC